Long non-coding RNA from Clupea harengus (Atlantic herring), 1115 nucleotides. RefSeq lists it as uncharacterized. The record is from RefSeq and is a predicted model, not a curated record. The transcript has 5 exons. Lineage: Eukaryota; Metazoa; Chordata; Actinopteri; Clupeiformes; Clupeidae.
GUGUGUGGUCUGUGUGGGAACUUCGACUCCAGCGAGGCCAAUGACCUGCUGAGUGCCGGCUCCUGGCUGGAGUUUGGCAACAGCUGGAAAACGGGCACGCCACCCUGUUCCGACGUGACGAGCGAGACCUUCCCCUGGCAGCGCCACUCCUACUGCGCCAACUGGGCAGAGAGACGCUGCAUGAUCAUUAAGGGAGACACCUUCAGAGGGUGCCACCUCAAGGCUGCUAUCCCAGGUGUCCGGCAGAGGCUCCAUACUAUGAUGAGAACACAGAUAACUGCACCACACUGCAGAACUGUACCUGUCUCUUCAAUGGCACAGUCCUUAGACAUGGCACUGAAGUGAACACGUCCAGUGGAGACUGCACUUGCACAAAUGGAACCAUGGUCUGUGGGAAAUGUGUACCAACAACCAGAAAUCCUCCAACUACAACCUCAGAAGCAACAACCACAAAUAGACUUACUACAACAGUACCCUCAACAACCACUGUGGCAACAACAAUGAUGGCACCUACUACUAUGACUGUGGAACCAUCAACGUCUACAAUAUCAAGCACGGUAGAACCUACAACAGAACACGCGACUACGUCUACAACACCUACAACUGAACCAACGACUACAGCAACCCCAUUUACAACCACAUUUAAACCUACAACUACAAGGCCUCCCACCGAACCCACAACUACCACAGCACCAACCUCAACAACAUUCACAGUUAAAACCGGACCCCCCAAAACAAAAUCAUCCACAUCUCCACAGGUUAAGUUUACUACACUCUCAGAGGCAACAAGUUCAGCAUCACCAACAACCACAAUCAUACUGCCAACAACUGCAACAACAACUACUGCUACUACACUGGAACCAACAUCUCUAUCUACAACUAAAACCACGGGGCCUUCAAGCACAACAACCACAGCACCAACUUCUGUAGCUGUGUCAACCACAACUCUAUGUCAGUGCAGGGACGUGUUGAGAAACGAGAGCUGGAUGUGUGGAGAGAGGUGGACAGAGGACUGUUUCAACAAAGAGUGUCGUGAUGGACAAAUCACCAUGACACAGGUCACAUGUCCAGAGAGACCAGAGCCAGUCUGCCCUCGAGGUCAGGUGACCAGGGUU